Molecule: long non-coding RNA, 1625 nt
Filed under: Homo sapiens (human)
Lineage: Eukaryota; Metazoa; Chordata; Mammalia; Primates; Hominidae
Description: long non-coding RNA NONHSAT200100.1
Source: RNAcentral
GCGCUUUCCCCGGGCAGGGGCAGAGCCGGUCUCACCCCCCGCCUCUCCCCGGCCCCCGCCGCCCUAUGGCGAGAGGGAGCCCCCUCCCAACCCGGGCUCGAGCGGCGGCGGCCUCAGGCCGGGGGUCAUCAUGGAACUAAUUCGCUGACCGACCCAGCGGCCGCAGCCGUGCGUCCCGCUCGAGCGCCAGCGCCCGCGCCCGCGCCCCCCGAUCCGCUUCCCCUUUCUCCCUCCUCAGUUGGCCGAGUCGUCCCGCGCGCACCGCCUCCGCGCGCCUAUGAGAAUGAGGUGGUAACGGGCCCCCGGAUGACCCCGCGUCACCACUGUGAGGCCUACAGCUCUGCCGGGGAGGAGGAGGAGGAGGAAGAGGAGGAGAAGGUAGCUACAGCAAGCUGGGUAGCAGGCAGAUCCAAAGGAUAUCAUGAAGUUUCCAGGGCCUUUGGAAAACCAGAGAUUGUCUUUCCUGUUGGAAAAGGCAAUCACUAGGGAAGCACAGAUGUGGAAAGUGAAUGUGCGGAAAAUGCCUUCAAAUCAGAAUGUUUCUCCAUCCCAGAGAGAUGAAGUAAUUCAAUGGCUGGCCAAACUCAAGUACCAAUUCAACCUUUACCCAGAAACAUUUGCUCUGGCUAGCAGUCUUUUGGAUAGGUUUUUAGCUACCGUAAAGGCUCAUCCAAAAUACUUGAGUUGUAUUGCAAUCAGCUGUUUUUUCCUAGCUGCCAAGACUGUUGAGGAAGAUGAGAGAAUUCCAGUACUAAAGUUCCAUGCCAUUGCAGUGUCAACUAGGCCUCAGUUACUUUUCAGUUUGCCCAAAUUGAGCCCAUCUCAACAUUUGGCAGUCCUUACCAAGCAACUACUUCACUGUAUGGCCUGCAACCAACUUCUGCAAUUCAGAGGAUCCAUGCUUGCUCUGGCCAUGGUUAGUCUGGAAAUGGAGAAACUCAUUCCUGAUUGGCUUUCUCUUACAAUUGAACUGCUUCAGAAAGCACAGAUGGAUAGCUCCCAGUUGAUCCAUUGUCGGGAGCUUGUGGCACAUCACCUUUCUACUCUGCAGUCUUCCCUGCCUCUGAAUUCCGUUUAUGUCUACCGUCCCCUCAAGCACACCCUGGUGACCUGUGACAAAGGAGUGUUCAGAUUACAUCCCUCCUCUGUCCCAGGCCCAGACUUCUCCAAGGACAACAGCAAGCCAGAAGUGCCAGUCAGAGGUACAGCAGCCUUUUACCAUCAUCUCCCAGCUGCCAGUGGGUGCAAGCAGACCUCUACUAAACGCAAAGUAGAGGAAAUGGAAGUGGAUGACUUCUAUGAUGGAAUCAAACGGCUCUAUAAUGAAGAUAAUGUCUCAGAAAAUGUGGGUUCUGUGUGUGGCACUGAUUUAUCAAGACAAGAGGGACAUGCUUCCCCUUGUCCACCUUUGCAGCCUGUUUCUGUCAUGUAGUUUCAACAAGUGCUACCUUUGAGUGUAAACUAAGGUAGACUACUUUGGGAAUGAGAACAUGCAAAAUCAGGAAAGGCUGUAGAAGGAAAUAUACCUUAACAGGCUGAUUUGGAGUGAGCCAGAAAAAAAAAAUAAAACUCUCAUUAUUUGUGUGGCUAAUUAUAAUUCAGCGUUAUUUAAGCACAUAAAGACC